Molecule: ribosomal RNA, 254 nt
Filed under: uncultured bacterium
Lineage: Bacteria
Description: partial 16S ribosomal RNA
Rfam family: Bacterial small subunit ribosomal RNA
Source: RNAcentral
UACAGAGGCCCCAAGCGUUACUGAGAAUCACUGGGUUUAAAGGGUGCGUAGGUGGUCCGUUAAGUCUGUUGUGAAAGCCCUUGGCUCAACCAAGGAAUUGCUUCGGAUACUGGCGGACUUGAGGCUAGUAGAGGUCACUGGAACUGACGGUGGAGCGGUGAAAUGCGUAGAUAUCGUCAGGAACGCCGGUGGUGAAGACGGGUGACUGGGCUAGUUCUGACACUGAGGCACGAAAGCGUGGGGAGCGAACGGGG